AGAGAGAGAGAGAGAGAGAGAGAGAGAGAGAGAUUUCUUUUCUUUAUUUACAUGUAUAUCUGUUGAUUACAGUUCAGAUACUGGGUUUGUGAGUUGAAAUUAAUCAAAUGAGAGUGGUAAAAAUCCACCUUUAUAUGUAUAAUUUACAUAUCAGGAUUUUAUCCAGGUACGUUAUUCUGGUUUGUGGAAUGCUAAUUUAUACUAAGUUAGAAUAAUCUAAGCUGUAUACCAAAGUAGGUCUUCAUGGGGCUUUACGGCUCUAUGCAUCGUAAAUAGAGAUCGGGUUCAAUGCGUCGGGUGUGGGAUUCACACAAUAUAUGCUGAGCGCGAAAGUUGAUAUUGACAGGCGCCAUAAUGUUAUACCGGUAAACAACAUUUUGAACAUGAAUCGAGAACAGGAGUUGAAUCAGUUGAUGCAGAUAUUCUGAGGAGAAUCUUCCAGUCAUUGAAAUAUAUUUCAUGAUAGUCAUGCAGAUUCAGAAGUUGUGAUGGUGUGUUGAUAGGCUGUCUUCAACUUGCCAUAUCUUAGAGUUCCAACAUGCAGGCCUGGAUUAAUGUGUAUAAAUCACUAAUGAAAAAAAGAAUGACAUUUCGAUUUAUACACACUUGCCAAGUGAAUCUGAUGAGACUGCUACAUGUAUUUGUGAGUAAAGGCACUCUGUCUUAACCAAAAAACUAUUUACAGUUUAUCACAACAAAUGGAUGGGACAGUAGAGCUGUUGCGGACAAUAUGUGAUUGUGAUGACCAAGUACUGAACAAGUGGAAGAUUAGAAGAAGGUCCAGAAUUCAAUCAUGUUUUUUAUUCUAAGGUGCACACAGCAUGGAGAUAGUCCUAUUAUUCUCUCAUUCAUCUAUGAUGGAGAAACUUGUGUAAAUGUUUAGUGUUCUCCCUAAUAAUUAAAUGCCCACAAGUCUGUAUUAAUUUAUCAGAAUAUAAAGUCCUUCACAGUACUGAUUUUAAAAUUAAUGUAGAGUGUCUCCAGAUUUUUCUGAGGAAAAGUGCAUAGUUUACAUGUGUGAAUUUUGAAUAUAUUUCAUUCUUGUCUGCAAAUGUUGCCGAAACCUGUUGUUAUUGAUGCACAGUCAUGUUAUGCAAAUGAUAGACCUUCUUAAUUACAUGUACAGAAGAUCAUGUCAACUCCUUUGUCUUAAUUGUAUACACAAUUCUAGCAUUUAUAGCAUCAUUUAUAUAGCACUUGCUAGUUUAAGAAGGAUUUUAUUUUCUAAAAGCUUUCAUUUGACAUGAUUGAUCUAAAACGGCCAAAAUUCACAAAUCUAUUUAAAUCACAACCUGACCUUAUGUCAGAAAAGUGCCACUGUGGGUUGAUAUUUUUCUCUUGGAUCUUGAAAGAAAUUCUUUAUGCAGCAGUUUCCAAAUAAAAUGUACUCUCAUGGCCAGGGUGGGACUUCACCGAGAACUUUUUAACAUUGCACAAUGCAAUAUUUGUAGAUUAGAAGUUGUUGCAGUUUCUUUAAGUUUUCUCUCACAUCUUGUUAUAAUUAUAUUUUUGGUUGGGUUGCACAAUGUGCAAACAGUUUAUAAAAUGGUGAAUUACUCAGUGGUGUGCAAGCGACAGUAGCGUCCCUGUAAUAGUACCUACUUUGUGUAAUCAACUCCUUUCACACCUCUCACUUGAUGUUCCUUAAACUUUGUACAGUUGUUAGGGAUACAUUGAAGAUGUGCAUGUGCCUUUUUGAAAGUGAUCAGACAUUUUUUGAAAAAUUUACAUGUAGUUGAACUUCGUCAUUUUUAAGCAUUUCUUGAAUAGAUGGUAACUAUUUUGUGUAAUCAAAUCUUCAUGCACCUCUAACUUGACAUUCCUUAAACUUUGUACAGUUGUUAUGAACACAUUGAAGAUGUGCAUGCAUCUUUUUGAAAAUGAUUAGACUUUUUUAAAAAAAAAAUUAUGUGUAGUUGAACUUGGUCAUUUUUAUGCAUUUCUUGAAUAGAUGGUACCUAUUUUGUGUGAUCAACUCGUGCACAUCUAAAUUGAUAUUCCUCAAACUUUGUACAGUAGUUAUGGACACAUUGAAGAUGUGCAUGUGUCUUUUUGAAAGUGAUCAGACUUUUUUCAAAAAAAUUACAUUUAGUUGAACUUUGUCAUUUUUUAAGCAUUUCCUGAAUAGAUGGUACUUAUUUUUUGUAAUCAACUCCUCUUACAGCAUUUAUUUGACAUUCUUCAGACCUUGAACAGCUGUUAUGGAAGCAUUGUAAAUGUGCAUGUGUCUUUUCGGAAGUGAUCAGGCAUUCUUUGAAAAAUUUACAUAUGCAUGGUGAAGUUGAACUUAGUCAUUUUUUAAGCAUGGUACUUUAUGUAACCAACUCAACUUUUACUUAACAUUUUCCAGACCCUGUACAUUAUAGAUGUUUUAAAAACAUUGAAGAUAUUCAUGUAACAUUUUCAAAAUGCUUCUCUUUUUUUUUUCUUCUCUUUUUUGUUGUUGAAAAAUUCUACCUUUAAUUUGUCAUUUCCCCAGUAUAUGUUUCUACUGUUGUUCCUAUGAUGGAGAACAUAUUUUACAAGAACCCAGUCAUUUUUGUUUUUGAAUAUUUUUUUUUAAAUUAGUAUUUUUGAAUAUGUUAAUUACUUGAUAUGUCAUUGUUCUUGAAAUUAUAUUAAUUGAAUUGUU
Molecule: long non-coding RNA, 2632 nt
Organism: Ostrea edulis (European flat oyster)
Lineage: Eukaryota; Metazoa; Mollusca; Bivalvia; Ostreida; Ostreidae
Exons: 2
Source: RefSeq, a predicted model, not a curated record